AGUGAUUCAAAAGGCAAACUUCAAGAGAAUUUCGAGGGGAAUCUAGCGGUGAUCUCGAAAACGCGAGGGGAGGCUUCGUUGAGUGGGGAAGCAUUUGGAGACCGUUCGGAGAGGAAAAGAUCCGGUACCGUGAGUUGGAGCACGCGUGAUCGGCUUUCAGGUCCGAGCACUAGUAGCCAGCGUUGAUCGAGCUUGGAGUAGACUUAUCUGGAGACGGGGGGAUGGCUCGCACGCGUGGUAGGGCCCCAGCUAGGGGUAGAGGCCGACCUCGAGGUCGUGCCAGAGCUACAGCACCAGCCCAGGACCGAGAGCAAACUCCAGAGCCGGUGAUAGAGCCACCAGCAGCUCCAGCACCGCAGCAGCCGAUGGGUCCGGGAUCAGCCCAGCCACCGCC
Solanum stenotomum is the source of this 394-nucleotide long non-coding RNA. RefSeq lists it as uncharacterized. Lineage: Eukaryota; Viridiplantae; Streptophyta; Magnoliopsida; Solanales; Solanaceae. The record is from RefSeq and is a predicted model, not a curated record. The transcript has 4 exons.